This 46-nucleotide non-coding RNA is filed under the name Trichobilharzia regenti. Lineage: Eukaryota; Metazoa; Platyhelminthes; Trematoda; Strigeidida; Schistosomatidae. The record is from RNAcentral.
UGACUGAUGAAGAGUCCCAAACUAGGACGAAACAACUGUCCAGUAC